Molecule: ribosomal RNA, 252 nt
Filed under: uncultured bacterium
Lineage: Bacteria
Description: partial 16S ribosomal RNA
Rfam family: Bacterial small subunit ribosomal RNA
Source: RNAcentral
UACGUAGGUCCCGAGCGUUGUCCGGAUUUAUUGGGCGUAAAGCGAGCGCAGGUGGUUUAUUAAGUCUGGUGUAAAAGGCAGUGGCUCAACCAUUGUAUGCAUUAGAAACUGGUAGACUUGUGUGCAGGAGAGGAGAGUGGAAUUCCAUGUGUAGCGGUGAAAUGCGUAGAUAUAUGGAGGAACACCGGUGGCGAAAGCGGCUCUCUGGCCUGUAACUGACACUGAGGCUCGAAAGCGUGGGGAGCAAACAGG